This 1045-nucleotide long non-coding RNA is filed under the name Linum usitatissimum (flax). RNAcentral's name for it is "long non-coding RNA (LUSI_LNC006524)". The record is from RNAcentral. Lineage: Eukaryota; Viridiplantae; Streptophyta; Magnoliopsida; Malpighiales; Linaceae.
CUUCACUGCAAAGCAACAAAAGCCACCGCCCCCCACCCCCCCCUUCUCUUUUUAAAUAAUUGUACGGCACCCGCCGCAUUUUCCGCUCGACGCGGCAUUCUUUGAAGUUUCUCUCUCUCUCUCUCUGUCUCUCACUUCUCUCUAUCUUUAUAUGAUUCCCGUCCAGUCGUUUUUAGAAGAAGAAACAACAAUGGUUGGACAGACAACAUCAUCAUCAUCCUUGAAUUUCAUGGAAGAGCUCGACUUCUUUGACCAAAUGGACGACCUCAUCGACUUCCCAUCAGACGACCUCAUCGACUUCCCCUCCGACGACAUCGACGCCAUUCUUUCCUGCCCCGGCGGCGGCGACGCCGUCAAACCCAAUUUCUUCUCCGCUGCCGACAACAAAACCGACGAUGACGGUACCAGCUCAUUCCUUCCGCCCAGCAUUUGGGCCGCUCACCCGGGUUCCGACCCGGGUUUCCCCAACCACAGCGCCUCCGACCUCUCCGCUGAGCUGUCCGUUCCGGUAAGUUUAAUCCUUACACGUCUCCGUUUCCUGAACAUCAUUUAAUCUGGCGUUCCAUUUUCUUUCGUUAUUACGUCACCGGCUUUGUCUUUUUUAUUUCUGGAUAUUUGGUUUUUUCCCCCGCCCACAUUUUCACCUUUCUAGCGCGUUUAUGGGUUUCGAAAUAUUCUGAUUUUCCGAUUUGAUUAACCAGAAGGGGCAAAUUAGUAAAAGGCAUUGGUAGGUCCAUCUAUCUCUAGGGUAUUUUAGUAACUGAACAAAGCUGUCGGUGCUGAGGUGGAUAUCUUGCUUGGACUUAUUAUAUGACGGUUGGUGCUUUAGUUAUGGAUGUCACGUGGCUAGUAACGUGGGUUGCUGAAAUUAUGAUCUUAGACAUUAUUAUAAGGAAAGCUGAAAAUUAAUAUCUUUUUUUUUUAAAAUCAUUUGUAUCCAAUCAUGCUAAUGGUUUGGUGGCUGAAUUCAAUUUUGUUUCCCGCGAUUUAAGGAGUGGUUGGUGCUUUGAAUUUAAACCUUUGAUUUUGACUUUUAAUCAAUGUU